UCACUAAGCGGAGGAAAAGAAACCAACAGGGAUUGCCCUAGUAACGGCGAGUGAAGCGGCAACAGCUCAAAUUUGAAAUCUGGCGCUUGCGCCCGAGUUGUAAUUUGCAGAGGAUGCUUCUUGCGCGGUGCCUUCCGAGUUCCCUGGAACGGGACGCCAUAGAGGGUGAGAGCCCCGUACGGUCGGUAACUAAGCUAUUGUGUAGCACCUUCGACGAGUCGAGUAGUUUGGGAAUNCUGCUCUAAAUGGGAGGUAAACUCCUUCUAAAGCUAAAUAUUGGCCAGAGACCGAUAGCGCACAAGUAGAGUGAUCGAAAGAUGAAAAGCACUUUGAAAAGAGAGUCAAAUAGCACGUGAAAUUGUUGAAAGGGAAGCGCUUGUGACCAGACUUGGGCCUGGUAGUUCAGCCGUCCUUCUGGGCGGUGCAUUCUGCCGGUUCAGGCCAGCAUCAGUUGUCGGUUGGGGAGAAAGAUGGCGGGAACGUGGCUCUUCGGAGUGUUAUAGCCCGCCAUUAUGCCCUCCUGGCGACUGAGGUUAGCGUUCUGCACGGAUGCUGGCGUAAUGGUCAUCAGCGACCCGUCUUGAAACACGGACCAAGGAGUCAUCCUAAUAUGCGAGUGUUUGGGUGUCAAACCCCUACGCGAAAUGAAAGUGAACGGAGAUGAGAGCUUCGGCGCAUCAUUGACCGAUCCUGAUGUUCUCGGAUGGAUUUGAGUAAGAGCAUAUUGGGCUGGACCCGAAAGAAGGUGAACUAUGCUUGGAUAGGGCAAAGCCAGAGGAAACUCUGGUGGAGGCUCGCAGCGGUUCUGACGUGCAAAUCGAUCGUCAAAUCUGAGCAUGGGGGCGAAAGACUAAUCGAACCUUCUAUACUGUNUCC
RNAcentral lists this ribosomal RNA (876 nucleotides) under Aniptodera chesapeakensis. Its description in RNAcentral is "LSU rRNA". It matches the Rfam family "Eukaryotic large subunit ribosomal RNA", at positions 43 to 958 of the family's 3401-position model. The record is from RNAcentral. Lineage: Eukaryota; Fungi; Ascomycota; Sordariomycetes; Microascales; Halosphaeriaceae.